UUAAUUAAAGCUAAAAAGAAGUAACUCACUGUUAAUGAGAAGAAUGAUCAAAAAUCUAAUUAAA
Molecule: transfer RNA, 64 nt
Filed under: Oliarus cf. filicicola HI01081
Lineage: Eukaryota; Metazoa; Arthropoda; Insecta; Hemiptera; Cixiidae
Description: tRNA-Asn
Source: RNAcentral